CACGUAGGGGGCGAGCGUUGUCCGGAUUUAUUGGGCGUAAAGAGCUCGUAGGCGGCUCAGUAAGUCGGGUGUGAAAACUCCAGGCUCAACCUGGAGACGCCACCCGAUACUGCUGUGGCUAGAGUCCGGUAGGGGAGCAUGGAAUUCCUGGUGUAGCGGUGAAAUGCGCAGAUAUCAGGAGGAACACCAGUGGCGAAGGCGGCCCUCUGGCUCGACCCUGACGCUGAGAGGCGAAAGCGUGGGGAGCAAACAGG
This 254-nucleotide ribosomal RNA is filed under the name uncultured bacterium. Its description in RNAcentral is "partial 16S ribosomal RNA". It matches the Rfam family "Bacterial small subunit ribosomal RNA", at positions 524 to 776 of the family's 1533-position model. The record is from RNAcentral.